Molecule: long non-coding RNA, 1519 nt
Filed under: Struthio camelus australis
Lineage: Eukaryota; Metazoa; Chordata; Aves; Struthioniformes; Struthionidae
Description: lncRNA (ENSSCUG00000015794.1)
Source: RNAcentral
UUGCAGCCGAAGGCCUACACAAGCCAGACAUUUAUCUGACUAAAAUAUUCGCAGUGUGUUCCCUCCUCUGCUCAAGCAGACCUCAUUGCAUUUAAGCGCCAAAAAAGUGGAAUUCCUGAACAGCAGGUGGAAAGAAAGCACAAGAUCAAAAGCACUUCUGGCUGCCAAGAGGACCUGCAGCGCUGCUUGUGGGUGCAUGGAAAAGUCACACAGGCUCCUGGCGGGGUUGGAGACUUUUGGAAGGUCAUCAAGGAGCUUGUUCAGGCAUCCCACAUCAAAAGGCAGCAGGAGGAGCCGCAGCAGCACACGCGGUCCCACGGGGAUGGUGCUAAAGACACCGGUCACCCAUUCGUAGAAGAACGUAACUCGUUUUCCCAUCACAUCUAUGGUAACAGCUCUAAGAAGUUAGUGCUCAGUGGAGCCUGUGGGUAAACGUGUUUGCAGACAGAGUGAGGUAGCAGCUGUGAUAGCACCCAUGAGCAAAAGAAGGUAACCAAGGCAGAAGCGAAGAGCAGAGAGCGAGCUGUACACUACUGUUAGUAUGAAGGAACAAAAUCAACAUGGUACCUGCAGGAUCAGGUCACAAGGAUUAAUGGCUAGCAACACUGCGCUUAACUGGAGACACCCUAAUGCUACUGUGGCCCUGGAACUGGGUAACAUCAACGAUAAGAUCUUCCUGCCUCAGCGUUAAAGGCUCUGAGCCUGCUUCUUUCACUCACGCUGGGGAGGUUUCCAAAGAAGGCCCAGCUUUUGCAGUCUACACCUUCGACGGGAGUUACAGGACAGCCCUCGCUCACUCCGCGUAGCCUACAGGAAGAUGACAGGUAUUUCCCCACAAAGUCCUACGCUCACUGGGAGCCAUGUUGUCUCAGCAGUAGCUGAGCACUGAGGGUUAGCGCUGAGGAGUCUUUUUUACAUGAUGAUAUCAAUCGUCAUUUUUAAUAGGGGUUUAAGGUACUGUCCUAUGAACCUUAAGACUAUCUUGGAGGCCUUUAGAAUAGCUGAAAUAAGAGCACAUUUUUAAAAUAGCAUCUUUUCACUACCAGACUGCAGCAAGGAACAUGGGGAAACACUUCUAACUGCCUCCUACCAGCUCAGCCUUAUCCUGUUGCUGUCCAGACCUACUAGUAGGUAUAUUAAAUACCGUGUCUGAAAGCGCGGGAAAGAUAAUUACCAUCACUUCUACAGACUUCUUCAUAUAGGUCAGGACUGAGCUGACUGAAGGCUGCCUUGAAAAGCAAACUGCUGUUUCCCAGCUGGGAGUUUUAAAGCAGCCUAAGGGAUUUGGAUCACAUAAGAACAAAACUUCCUGCUCAACUGAAAGCAACGGAGUGACCAAGGUCUCCUCUGGCCAACUCUGGGAGCUAGGACAACAAGGAGGAGGGCGUGAUAGCUGGCAGCAAGCUGGCAGCCCUUUGACAGCUGCGAUGAAAGAGGAGCAGUACAGAAAUCAACAGAAAGUGGGCCCUUGUUGUCCGGAAACAAUAAACAUCGGGAUUUUGUUUUAUUUUUAAUAGGA